AAGACUAUACUUUCAGGGAUAGUUUCUAUAGUUCCUGACUUAAUGUGUUUCUAAAGUGUUUAGUCUCGCUAACCAUGAUAAUGAACAUCAUUGUGAUGCUUCCUUCUGAGAGAGAAGCUGGAGGUGAAUAAUGACCCUGUUCAUGUUUUACCUGUCAUUGAUGACUGAUUUUUUUGUGCUCUUGUAGAGCACUGAGGCAGGUAACAUGAACUGAGUGGU
Myripristis murdjan (pinecone soldierfish) is the source of this 219-nucleotide small nucleolar RNA. Its record names the gene U3. It matches the Rfam family "Small nucleolar RNA U3". Rfam says of the family: Small nucleolar RNAs (snoRNAs) are involved in the processing and modification of rRNA in the nucleolus. There are two main classes of snoRNAs: the box C/D class, and the box H/ACA class. NCBI's taxonomy places the organism in Eukaryota, Metazoa, Chordata, Actinopteri, Holocentriformes, Holocentridae. The record is from Ensembl.